This 359-nucleotide long non-coding RNA is filed under the name Homo sapiens (human). RNAcentral's name for it is "non-protein coding lnc-SLC27A2-2:1". Lineage: Eukaryota; Metazoa; Chordata; Mammalia; Primates; Hominidae. The record is from RNAcentral.
CGUGGCUUUUAAAGAUGCUGGAAAAACACCCAUGGAGCCGGAGAUAGCAAUUCACUGAAUUCGAAUCACUCUCUAUGAGCCACAGCAUAAAAUCCCUGGAGAAGGUGUGUGCUGACUUGAUCAGAGGAGCAAAGAAAAAGAAUCUCAAAGUGAAAGGACCAGUUCAAAUGCCUACUAAGACUUUGAGAAUCGCUACAAGAAAAACUCCUUUUGGUGACGGUUCUAAGACAUGGGAUCAUUUCCAUAUGAGAAUCCACAAACAACUCAUUGACUUGCACAUCCUUUCUGAGAUUGUUAAGCAGAUUACUUCCAUCAGUACUGAGCCAGGAGUUGAGGUGGAAGUCACCAUUGGAGAUGCU